AGUGAACGCUGGCGGUAGGCCUAACACAUGCAAGUCGAACGGCAGCACAGAGGAGCUUGCUCCUUGGGUGGCGAGUGGCGGACGGGUGAGGAAUACAUCGGAAUCUACUCUGUCGUGGGGGAUAACGUAGGGAAACUUACGCUAAUACCGCAUACGACCUACGGGUGAAAGCAGGGGACCUUCGGGCCUUGCGCGAUUGAAUGAGCCGAUGUCGGAUUAGCUAGUUGGCGGGGUAAAGGCCCACCAAGGCGACGAUCCGUAGCUGGUCUGAGAGGAUGAUCAGCCACACUGGAACUGACGCACGGUCCAGACUCCUACGGGAGGCAGCAGUGGGGAAUAUUGGACAAUGGGCGCAAGCCUGAUCCAGCCAUACCGCGUGGGUGAAGAAGGCCUUCGGGUUGUAAAGCCCUUUUGUUGGGAAAGAAAUCCAGCUGGCUAAUACCCGGUGGGGAUGACGGUACCCAAAGAAUGAGCACCGGCUAACUUCGUGCCAGCCGCCGCGGUAA
RNAcentral lists this ribosomal RNA (506 nucleotides) under uncultured bacterium. Its description in RNAcentral is "partial 16S ribosomal RNA". It matches the Rfam family "Bacterial small subunit ribosomal RNA", at positions 29 to 523 of the family's 1533-position model. The record is from RNAcentral.